RNA transcript from Cajanus cajan (pigeon pea), 3788 nucleotides. RefSeq lists it as uncharacterized. The record is from RefSeq and is a predicted model, not a curated record. NCBI's taxonomy places the organism in Eukaryota, Viridiplantae, Streptophyta, Magnoliopsida, Fabales, Fabaceae.
GCAGUGAGUGAAAGUAAAAGUGCUUAGCAAUGAUGAAAAAAUUGGACCGGAUUAGAUUAGUCUAUUCAAUCGAUAAAUUGAUGAACAAGUUAGUUAUUUGGUUUAUUCAACCAAAAAGACCUGUUGAGCCCGUCCUUGAAUUGGUUCGAAAUAAGUUUUUAAUCUUUUUUAUUCAAUCAAAAGCAUUUUAUUAGUCAAAUAGACCUAAUGUUAAACAAUAAAGUUGGCGUAUAAUUUACUAUUACUUUUUGGCAUAUUUUUGUCAAUUUUUCAUCAUGCAACAUGUAUAAUAUGAAAAAUUCGUGUUAAUUUAAUGUUUUGUUAUACUCAAGCUUUUUAUUAUUUUAUGUUAAACUAUUAUUUUUAUAACAGGAGUUUGCAAACUUACACCGACUUAUAUUUUUUUUUAUAGAAAGAAUAAGUUAACAAGUUAUAAAUAUAAUUAUUUUAAAAAUCCACCCAAAUGUAGUAUUUUAACUUACUCAUUUUAAAAAAUUAGCAAAUGAUUGUGGAGUUUGUUAAUCUACACUUAAUUUUUUUUAGUUAGAAUAUAUUAAUAAAUUAUAUCAAAUAUUUUUUAAAAAUAUACUCGGUGGAGUUUGAUAAGUUCCUCUUUUAAAAAUAUUGUAAGAUGAGAAACAUAUUUCGAAUUUUCUAAGUUAAUACAACUUUGUCAAUAGAUACUCAUUUAUAAUUUCUUCUCAACUGUAAAGAAUGAUAUUGAAAUGUGUUAUUGAAUAAGAUCUCUUAUGUCGUGUAAAUAUUUGGCCAUACAAUACAAGUCGAAUUAUUUGCGCGGUUUAAAUUGAAUAUGAUAUGAUAUUUAAAAGGUCAAUAAUUUAUUAAUUUUUAAUUUAAUUACAAAUGAUGUUUACUCUGCCUGUAUAAAAAACAGAGAAAAAAUCAAAAUAAAAAAUGUUUACUAGCCACGGUGACUGCAAAUGGUAGCAAAAGGCUGCAUCCAGUUUAAUAAACUCGGAUCUUUCGCAUCUGCCAAAUGUUAGUGUUUUGUUUAACUCAAAUUUUAAAAAAUAGUUAUUAUUUAAAAAGAAAAAUGUUAGAAAUAUAUCAUUACAUUUUGAAAAAAGAAAUUAAAAUAAACACGAAAUUGGUGUUUUAUGUACGACUAUGGAUUAAUACAAUUUUAUAAUCAUUUGAUAUCUCAAGGGGAACUUAAUUAUGUAAAAUUAAUUUUAAUUAAAAGUUAAAUCGAAAGAAAGAGAUUUGUCUUUGAAAAAAUGUAGUUCAAAUUUAAGUAAAAUCAUGUUGUAGUGUUUGAGGUAGGUGCAUUUGAGGUAUUAAACGCAAAACCCCGAACAUAAUACGAAUGGUUAUGAGAAUAAAGACAAUGUUUGGUGUUGAUAGCGAAUAUGUUUCCAAUUCCACCUGACACUUCAUUAAGAACAAUGUUUGGUGUUGACUUUGACUUGCAUGAAGCACCCUUGAGUUCAAGCUUAUAGUUUGUUUCGACAACUUCAUAUAAGUUACAUUAAUUUUGUUUUGUGGUUUUAUGUUAUGGUUUUUGUUGUUUGCAAAGUUAGGAAGCAAAAGGAGCUAAAUGCGAAGGGCAUUGGAUAAUGAUUUGUUUAUAAAUUUGUUUUUCUCUCUUUCUGUGCCUCGAUGACACCGCUCCUUCAUUAUUUAUCUGGUCGAACCGAUGUUUCUUGCCCUUUUCUCUUCUCUUUUCCUAUUUCCAUGGCUACUCACUUCAAUCUGCAACAUCAACUAUUCAACUACUCCAGAUCCGUGGGAUUAGAUAUCAGAAGAAAAACAACUGCUCACGCCCUUCAACAUGUCAAUUCAAAUGGAUUAGAUGAGAGAAACAAUACUUCUUUGAACAGUGGCCUGUUAGUUGGAUCUUUUUCUGUAUGUUACACUUCCUUAAAGAAGUGUUCCUCAUUGACAGCGUCAACUAAGACUCAUUUUUCCUGUACUGAUCAAAGCAAAGAAGCAGAUGAGAUUACCAAUGUUUCAUCCAGUACCAGUAGUCAGCGAAUGGAAUUUAAUAGAGUGGAUUGUGUUGUGUGGUUAUUGCAUGAAUCUUCUAGGAGCUUUUCGCAAGCUAUCAACUCGCUUGGACUAGCAAGGAGUGGUCCUGCUCUUGCAAUGGCUUGGAUUGGGAAGGAUGUGCAUGAGUGGCAUAGACGUAUUGCUUAUCAGGUUGCAGUUUAUGCUUUAAUGAAAGCAGCAAUUGAUUUGGAGAUAUUGCUUUCACACGACCGACUAAAUGAAUCUUCCCCUGUUAAAGAGAUUUUGAGUCCAUUAAUGAAUCAAAUGGGAGAACACAUUGAAAUUCGACUGAAAAUGAAGCAUCCAUAUUUGGUGCAGUGGUUUAGAGACACUGAAAUGCCGCAAAUAGCAGGAUAUUUUAUUGCACUUCUAAAAAAGUGGUCCGUGGAAUAUGCAGGAAGCGGUAUUGCAGGAAUUAUUGUGGCUAUAACCUGUUGUAGUGCAGUGGUGAAAUUGAGCUCUAGGCGCAGCUGCUGCCACUUACCUGUAUUGUCUUUCGAAGAUGUUUUGGUCAAGCUCAUGGAUUUUUCACUCAGUCUUGCAUCUCUGGACAAGUUACAUCAGUUAGCAACUGAGGCAGGAUUUGAACUAAAUUUCUUGUCACAUUUUGGUGGGAAGGUUUUUCCCAGUGAUAAAACUGAGGACCUAGAGUUUUGGAUCGGUUUGGCCCAUAGGAAACUAUUGAAAGCUUUCAGUGAAGAAAGCAUGACUUCAAAGAAGCAAAAUUUUCAGCAAAAGAUUCCAACAGAUAGUUUGGCCACAUUAGGACUUUUUACAUAUCUUGGAAGAAGGACUAGAAUAUUUUUAUCAGCAAUGGGCAUUAAGGAUCUUGACGGAAUAGUUAAGGACUUCCUCAGUUACUUGGAAUGUGGCAUUCUUUUCAUUUAUCCUGAAUUUUCCUCAAUCCGAGUGUAUCAGUGUUUCAUGGAGGUGGUAACUGAUGAGAUAGGAUGGCUUGAUUUUUAUGCUUCAUAUGUUCAACUAAACUGCAAGGAGCAAAGGCCAAAACAUAAUGCACGCCAGGCAGAGAAAGAGAUAAUUUCUUCUGUAGUUUUUACUGUGUGCUAUGAUGUUUUCUCUGGGUUUGCGCACUUCAAUCGCUCAACUCAACAGUCAUUGGGCAUAGCUUCACGGAUGUACUUGCUUCAGUGUCAGGGUCUGCUAAGUAUUUGUCUGCAAGAUCACUGGGCUGCAUAUGACAAAUCAGGUGAAUCACUAAAUAUUGUGGAUCAUGCUGCAUUUGACAACACGUCAUAUAUGGGAAAUAUAAAUGGACCCAAGUUACCUCUGGUGUAUGAAGUGCAGCAGAUGUCACAUGAUUUAACUACAGAAGGAAGUCCAAAGAGUAAUUCUCGAAACAGUUGUAUAUUCAAAAAGCUCAUCUAUUUUGAUAAGAGGAUCGGUUUUAUUGAUGUAAAUUGCAUAAUAUAGAAUUCAGAAAAUGGCGAGCUAUGUUACUGCACAUGCUUUUUGCAUGUCAUGGAUGCAUGCUACAUGCUAAGAAGAUUCCCUAUUCUGCACCAAAUAUAUUUGCACAAGAUUUGGCUCCAAUUCCAGCAAUCACAAACAAGGAAACAUAUGGGAAAGAUUCCUGCAUUGACAAGCCAAAUCGUCAGCGUGAAAGUUUUAUCAAGAGAUACAGCACCAAGUUGGCAUCCACAAGUGCAGACCUCCGGAUGGGUACUUUGUUGCUCUUCAUAGACAUCAUGCUUGCCUUAGAGCUACUUGUAAGGAAAGUGCAUGGCUACAAGCCUUCAGGAAGUCAACAAAAGAGGCUG